This 482-nucleotide ribosomal RNA is filed under the name uncultured bacterium. RNAcentral describes it as "partial 16S ribosomal RNA". It matches the Rfam family "Bacterial small subunit ribosomal RNA", at positions 30 to 507 of the family's 1533-position model. The record is from RNAcentral.
AUUGAACGCUGGCGGCAUGCUUUACACAUGCAAGUCGAACGGUAACAGGCCGCAAGGUGCUGACGAGUGGCGAACGGGUGAGUAAUGCAUCGGAACGUGCCCAGUCGUGGGGGAUAACUACUCGAAAGAAUAGCUAAUACCGCAUACGAUCUAUGGAUGAAAGCGGGGGACCGUAAGGCCUCGCGCGAUUGGAGCGGCCGAUGUCAGAUUAGGUAGUUGGUGGGGUAAAGGCUCACCAAGCCAACGAUCUGUAGCUGGUCUGAGAGGACGACCAGCCACACUGGGACUGAGACACGGCCCAGACUCCUACGGGAGGCAGCAGUGGGGAAUUUUGGACAAUGGGCGCAAGCCUGAUCCAGCAAUGCCGCGUGCAGGAAGAAGGCCUUCGGGUUGUAAACUGCUUUUGUACGGAACGAAACGGCUCUGGUUAAUACCCGGGGCUAAUGACGGUACCGUAAGAAUAAGCACCGGCUAACUACGUG